AUCAAGUAUAUUAGUAAGAUGAACAGAGUAUAGAGACGUCUUUUUUUCUCGGUAACUUGUGUUACAGUGCCUGAAAGUGCAAUACCGAUGUAGAAAAAUUCUGCUGAAUUUCGUACUUUGUGCCUAUAGUAUUCUGAUUCUAUAUUACGCUACAAAAUUUCUUUCAGUGUAUCUUUAUCGAUUGUUUGUGUUAGCGGUCUAUUUUCAGAAGAACUGACUUCGACCUUGAAGUUGCAAUCGUCGUAACCCACGACGGUUAAUACAAAAUUUUUUUGGCCAAAAGUUGUGUAGUAACUGUAGUCCUACUGCUCAAAUUGCUUUCAGCAAACAUGUUCAUGCAUCCAGAACUUUUGCAUGUUCAGACUUAUAAGAAUGACCGUAGUUGGGAUUUUUUUACUGUCAGUUUUACAGGUAGUUAUGAAUUAAAGUGACAGAAUGCAGGCUUGUGAACAGUACAAUCUGUUUUUGCAUUGGAUGUUUCUGACUUUGUGAAAUGGAAAGCCAAGGAAGAGAAGACAGAAGUAGCAUUGUAACUUAUGGGUGUGCCUAGCCUGCGAUAGGUGGCACGAAAACCACAUAUAUGUGUCAUAGAUCUCCGAUAUUCAAGUCUCAAUCAAAAGGCGAGAGGCUGCUGAAGUCGCAAGAAAAUAACAAGAUGGGAAGCGAUCGCACUGCUGCCAUGAACAUCAGCCAAAAUAAAAAGAGGAAUUUUACUAUUGUUUAUUUCAAGACACAUUUUAGCCACAAACGGAAUGAAUAUUGUUUCUGUGCACCUAACCAGAUAUUAAAAGGCGUUCAUUGCUGGUGAUAUUGACUUGUGAGAAGAAUGGUUGAUGAAGCCAGUUACAUCCUGGAACAAUGAAUCGUUAACGGAUUUCAUGAACAACUGCACCCUGGGAAAAAGUUGCUUCGCAAGCCAUCACGGGAAAUUAACAUCCCAUUAACGAGUUUAUAACGACAUAUGCAAACAGAUUUCAACCUGCAUUAUAUGCACCAUGAACCGUGAGUCCGCGGUUUUAACUUCAGUUCAACAAUGAAUUAAGAAUUCAGCAUUUCCAUUUGUCCCUUUCUCUACCUUCUCCUCCUCCCUUAAUGAAUCACUGGCAACAAUUGCAGUCGUUAUUGUCUGAAGCAGCAAACUGAAGUGCAGGUUGCCAGUCCACACGCAUGCAAUCUUGUGACUGUAUUCUGUCAUCAGCUCUUCUGUACAUAGUGUAUUGCAGAAGAGUGGUGGAUGAUAAGCAGUUGUUGAAAUGGCUGGAUGAAGAGUUUGCUAACAAAGUUUGUAGUGAUGCAGAGUCAAUCUUCGAAACUGAUCACAAUUCUGAAAGUGAGCAGUUUCUGGACAUAAAUGACAUUAUCGAUAAAUUUGACUCACAUGUUGGGAAAGGUGGUAUGCAGGGCAGUCAUCGACCUCUGGUUCAAAACAGGUAUAUAUGCCAGCUUUGUUGUACUUCCAGAAGCUAGAAUUUCUAGGCAAGCAUUAUACAGGAGGUUACAAAAAGGUACGGCCAAACUUUCAGGAAACAUUCCUCACACACAAAUAAAGAAAAGAUGUUACGUGGGCGUGUGUCUGGAAACGCUUAAUUUCCAUGUUAGAGCUCAUUUUAGUUUCGUCAGUAUGUACUGUACUUCCUCGAUUCACCGCCAGUUGGCCCAAUUGAAGGAAGGUAAUGUUGACUUCGGUGCUUGUGUUGACAUGCGACUCAUUGUUCUACAGUACUAGCAUCAAGCACAUCAGUACGUAGCAUCAACAGGUUAGUGUUCAUCACGAACGUGGUUUUGCAGUCAGUGCAAUGUUUACAAAUGCGGAGUUGGCAGAUGCCCAUUUGAUGUAUGGAUUAGCACGGGGCAAUAGCCGUGGCGCGGUACGUUUGUAUCGAGACAGAUUUCCAGAACGAAGGUGUCCCGACAGGAAGACGUUCGAAGCAAUUGAUCGGCGUCUUAGGGAGCACGGAAUAUUCCAGCCUAUGAUUCGCGACUGGGGAAGACCUAGAACGACGAGGACACCUGCAAUGGACGAAGCAAUUCUUCGUGCAGUUGACGAUAACCCUAAUGUCAGCGUCAGAGAAGUUGCUGCUGUACAAAGCAACGUUGACCAUGUCACUGUAUGGAGAGUGCUACGGGAGAACCAGUUGUUUCCGUACCAUGUACAGCGUGUGCAGGCACUAUCAGCAGCUGAUUGGCCUCCACGGGUACACUUCUGUGAAUGGUUCAUCCAACAAUGUGUCAAUCCUCAUUUCAGUGCAAAUGUUCUCUUUACGGAUGAGGCUUCAUUCCAACGUGAUCAAAUUGUAAAUUUUCACAAUCAACAUGUGUGGGCUACUGAGAAUCCGCACGCAAUUGUGCAAUCACAUCAUCAACAGAUUUUCUGUGAACGUUUGGGCAGGCAUUCUACAUCUACAUCUACAUCCGUACUCCGCAAGCCACCUGACGGUGCCAAAUGUAGAGACUCUUCCUGCUCGUAUUGUGGACAGCUGUGAUACAAUACGCCAUUCUCGAGGGCUGCAUCAGGGAUUCCAUGUGACGGAGGGUGGAUGCGUGUAUUGUUGGUGAUGUCUUGAUUGGGCCCCAUGUUCUUCCACCUAUGCUCAAUGGAGCACGUUAUCAUGAUUUCAUACGGGAUACUCUACCUGUGCUGCUAGAACAUGUACCUUUACAAGUACGACACAACAUGUGGUUCAUGCACGAUGGAGCUCCUGCACAUUUCAGUCGAAGUGUUCAUACGCUUCUCAACAACAGAUUCGGUGACCGAUGGAUUGGUAGAGGCGGAUCAAUUCCAUGGCCUCCACGCUCUCCUCACCUCAGCCCUCUUGACUUUCAUUUAUGGGGGCAUUUGAGAGCUCUUGUCUACGCAAACCCUGGUGCCAAAUGUAGAGACUCUUCCUGCUCGUAUUGUGGACGGCUGUGAUACAAUACGCCAUUCUCGAGGGCUGCAUCAGGGAUUCCAUGUGACGGAGGGUGGAUGCGUGUAUCCUCGCUAAUGGAGGACAUUUUGAACAUUUCCUGUAACAAAGUGUUUGAAGUCACGCUGGUACAUUCUGUUGCUGUGUGUUUCCAUUCCAUGAUUAAUGUGAUUUGAAGAGAAGUAAUAAAAUGAGCUCUAACAUGGAAAGUAAGCAUUUCCGGACACAUGUCCACAUAACAUAUUUUCUUUUGCUGUGUGCGAGGAAUGUUUCCUGAAAGUUUGGCCGUACCUUUUUGUAACACCCUGUAUACCAUGUAAUAGUGUGACAAUACCAUUAUCGUCAUCCUGACCAUCAAUGGAUCACAGUUACAGUUUUCAGAUGAAAGCUCAAAUGAGAAUGAUGCUGUGGGACCUUCCGCAGGUAGUGGAAUACAUAUCACACAGCAGAGUGAUACAGACUUUGCAGAAGAAACAGACAUGGUAGUUGAAGAACCGUCACAAGCAACAACAUUGAGUGCAAACAGAGAGUACUACAUCAAGAUAUGCUACACCAAGGAAAAGAAAGUGAAGUGAAAAAGGGAGCUAUUAAAGUGCCCUUCAGUUGAUUGCUGAAAGACUGCAAUCCAAUACUAAUGUUGAUGCAGAUACAUUUGUUAAACAUUUGGGUGUAGAAAUGAAAGCCAUUAAAAGCCAUGAAAUGAGGAUGAUGAUUAACCGCAAAUACUAAAACUUGUGUAUGAUGCUGUAGUCAGUCAAUAAACAUGGAAAUUUCA
This is a long non-coding RNA of Schistocerca serialis cubense, 3681 nucleotides long. RefSeq lists it as uncharacterized. The transcript is spliced from 5 exons. Lineage: Eukaryota; Metazoa; Arthropoda; Insecta; Orthoptera; Acrididae. The record is from RefSeq and is a predicted model, not a curated record.